This is a long non-coding RNA of Drosophila obscura, 2557 nucleotides long. RefSeq lists it as uncharacterized. Lineage: Eukaryota; Metazoa; Arthropoda; Insecta; Diptera; Drosophilidae. The transcript has 3 exons. The record is from RefSeq and is a predicted model, not a curated record.
AGAAUUGCUAAUUCACAUAGAUCAGGGACACAUUUACGAUGCUAUGUCUUCGUGCACCUCUCUUUCAUUUGGGUGAUUUUAAUAGUGGAUGUUUCUGCCAGCAAACUAAAGAACUAUUUUCUGUACCAACUGAUCUUAUCUCACGCAAUACUUGAUAUGCUAUUGCAUCUGCCAUUGCUCUCUGUCAUCAAUUAUUUUUUAUCCUCCUUCUAUUGCUCUCUCUCAAAGACCCACACGCUACCAUGCCACUCUCGGCGGAGACGACUCUCGCCACGGCGAAUAAGAAUAAAAAAAAUGUUGGAUCAUUUUGAAUAGUUUCUGCCCUUAUAUAUUGCUUUUUUCUUACUGCUGGGCCUUUCUACUUACAGCCAUAUGACAUUAGACUUUGCUAACUGACUAGCUGGAAAAAUAAAGAUGGCCUUAUGGGAAAUGCCUGCAGUCAGAGCGAGAGAACUAUAUGCGUCAAGCUGGCUGUCCAGUUGAGCUGCGAGCAACGCUGCGGCAGAAUUUAUCGAAAAUUUUACUUUGCGGAUACAAUUUUGCUGGCUUGGUGUCUGUGUUCUGCUGGAAAACAUCAUUGUGGGUCAAGUAGUGUCUCAGUUGUUCUACUAAAAGCCAUUAGACGUGUCUAGAGACGGAAUGUUGCCUUUUGUCUCUACUGCUAUCCCUCUCUACGCAGCAAAAUUGUCUAAGUCUAAUGUCAUAUGGCUAUUAACGCCAACUGAUACGCUUUAUUUAUACAAAUCUCCGACCAUUAUCAGUGCAUUAAGACUUCGCUUUGGCUUGCGUCAUAUUUCGCACGUCAGCAUCCUAAAUGCUAAUAUUAAAUAUAAAUAUACUAGAAGGAAAGCUCCUUGCGCAUUUGCUUCGAUCAAGUGCCAAUCCAAGGUUCUCUCGCUCACACAACCCACAUACCCAUUCUUCUGAUCACUGCGGCGCCUUAUAAUCACAUCAUAGUUUUGCAUUGAUACUGAAAUGGAUGACAAAAUAAAAAUAGCUAAUAGCACCAAAAAAAAAAUGAAUACCAUUGAUGACUUUGUCAUCCGUGUAAUGUUAUUAGAAGUAGUUAUUAGUACAGCAGUGGCAUUCUGCACGAUGUUUCAUUUUCUGUGACUUUUCUUCUUCUUCUUCUCUCUCAUGCCAUUAGGCGAAAACAACACAACACAUUUGAAAAUAUUUUAUCUGUUUACAUUUUUUUCCUACAUCUGUUUUCUAGAGAUGUGAGCGAGAGAGAGAAUAAAGGAAGUGGGCUAACAACUGAAAAUGAAUUUCUUAUUUCUGGCUAUAAUAAUAAUCCGAUCUGAUCGUGAUUCGGCAGUAUGGUAGAUGUGUGCAUUCUCUACGACACCCCGUAUCUUUAAAAUUUUGGAUGCCACAGAUUUUCGUCUUUUGUUGAGGCCAAAGUGUGUGAAAAUCCGAAAUUUUGAAAUAAACUUCUAACAGUGUGAUAUCAAUUAAGUGGUAAAAGUGGAUAUGUGUAGCGCAGAGAAGAAAACGUUUCAGACCUCAUAAAGUAUAUUAUUAAGUUCCACCUGACUGUAAAUAACAUCUGCGUAUGCGUAAGACGACGCAUCGGCAACGCAUUGCUUGAAGCGGUGAUGACAGAUAGCGAGGUAUGCUGCAAAUUUCCAAUAAAUGAACUUCAGAUACAAACUGUUGCCUACGUACAGAUAAUUGCAAGUGUAGUGGUUCGUUCCCUUCUACCGAGCUGAGCACACUUUCUUAAUUAGAACCUUUUGAACCUUUAGAAAUCAUAGGGCUUGGUAAACUCAGACAGCAAAAUCAGAAAUAUCGUCUGCAGCAGGGUCCUUAGCGUAUCGAGUUUUGCUGUCUAGUUCUAGUGGGUACUCACAACAGUUUGAACUGCGUUUUCAAAGUUUAAACUCAGCUCGGCUCAAUACCAAAAUCAGUUAAUCCUUGACUGUAAUGAGAUCGGCGAUAUUGCGUCACUUAUAAGCACCGCAGCAGCAUUCGGAUACAAAUCGAUAUGAUCUCCAUGCAUGAUUUUCCUUUCCGAUUAAAUCCCGUUGAAUAGGUAGUCCUAUGUGUAGACGUGAGCUGAGCGAAUAUCCCUUGCAGUCGUCUCCAGAUCCAUCAAAGAUAGCUCGGCAUCGCGUGGUGGUGCUAUCUGGUCUAAACACAGCGUGGUGGUAGCGGAAGGAAUCAACUCCAUGUGUCCUCGUUGCAGGUGGUAGUCCUCCAUAAACUCGACGUAUUGUUAUUUGAGUUCAGGAAACUUUCGAAAUUUCCGUUCGAGAUAAGCGAAGCGUACAUUGUGACAAUUUAGACCUCAUACGCGGGGCAGAAUCUUUUUACCGAGAUUGAACGAUGUAUACGCAAUCAUCUCUGCAAGUGAGCGUGUGAACCAAGUGUUGCUUAUCUGGAUCACUAGCGUGAAUGGUCGCAUUACAUUAAACCGAGGUAAGCAACAUGUUGCGAAUUGAGGGCAGUCCCAUACGGUGGCUUGGAUGGGAUUUUUUGGACUAGAUCGCUGGUUUGGUUUCGGAAAGGUCCGAAAUGUCCAUAAGGAAAGGAGCCCCAAGAAGCCGUAGUCUAU